This 492-nucleotide ribosomal RNA is filed under the name uncultured bacterium. Its description in RNAcentral is "partial 16S ribosomal RNA". It matches the Rfam family "Bacterial small subunit ribosomal RNA", at positions 29 to 507 of the family's 1533-position model. The record is from RNAcentral.
AGUGAACGCUGGCGGUAGGCCUAACACAUGCAAGUCGAACGGCAGCACAGUAAGAGCUUGCUCUUACGGGUGGCGAGUGGCGGACGGGUGAGGAAUACAUCGGAAUCUACUUUUUCGUGGGGGAUAACGUAGGGAAACUUACGCUAAUACCGCAUACGACCUACGGGUGAAAGCAGGGGAUCUUCGGACCUUUCGCGAUUGAAUGAGCCGAUGUCGGAUUAGCUAGUUGGCGGGGUAAAGGCCCACCAAGGCGACGAUCCGUAGCUGGUCUGAGAGGAUGAUCAGCCACACUGGAACUGAGGCACGGUCCAGACUCCUACGGGAGGACGGAGUGGGGAAUAUUGGACAAUGGGCGCAAGCCUGAUCCAGCCAUACCGCGUGGGUGAAGAAGGCCUUCGGGUUGUAAAGCCCUUUUGUUGGGAAAGAAAAGCAGCAGGUUAAUACCCCGCUGUUCUGACGGUACCCAAAGAAUAAGCACCGGCUAACUUCGUG